UGUGCCUACAAUCCGUCAAAGCCUCCUUGUGGGGUGAUGGCGUGCCUUUUGAAGAAUGAGCCUGCGAGUCAGGGACACGUCGCGAGGUUAACCCGUGUGGGGUAGCCGUAGCGAAAGCGAGUCUGAAUAGGGCGCCCAUAGUGGCGUGUUCUGGACCCGAAGCGGAGUGAUCUACCCAUGGCCAGGGUGAAGCGGCGGUAAGACGCCGUGGAGG
Molecule: ribosomal RNA, 214 nt
Filed under: Mycobacteroides chelonae
Lineage: Bacteria; Bacillati; Actinomycetota; Actinomycetes; Mycobacteriales; Mycobacteriaceae
Description: partial 23S rRNA
Rfam family: Bacterial large subunit ribosomal RNA
Source: RNAcentral